GAUUAACGCUGGCGGCGUGCCUAACACAUGCAAGUCGAGCGGCAGCGAGUUUUACACUGAAUUCUGGAAGCUUCUAGUUGAAAGAGAAGAUUUAUUCAAGAAUUUUGUGUAAAAUGUCGGCUAGCGGCGGACGGCUGAGUAACGCGUGGGAACGUACCCCAAAGUGAGGGAUAACGCAUCGAAAGGUGUGCUAAUACCGCAUAUGGUCUUCGGGUUAAAGCCUUCGGGCGCUUUGGGAACGGCCUGCGUAAGAUUAGAUAGUUGGUGGGGUAAUGGCCUACCAAGUCGACGAUCUUUACCUGGUAUGAGAGGAUGAUCAGUCAGACUGGAACUGAGACACGGUCCAGACUCCUACGGGAGGCAGCAGUGAGGAAUCUUCCACAAUGGGCGAAAGCCUGAUGGAGCAACGCCGCGUGCAGGAUGAAGGCCUUCGGGUUGUAAACUGAUUUUAUAAGUGAGGAUUAUGACAGUAACUUAUGAAUAAGGAGCGGCUAACUACGUG
Molecule: ribosomal RNA, 502 nt
Filed under: uncultured bacterium
Lineage: Bacteria
Description: partial 16S ribosomal RNA
Rfam family: Bacterial small subunit ribosomal RNA
Source: RNAcentral